GAUGAACGCUAGCGGCAGGCUUAACACAUGCAAGUCGAGGGGUAACGAUGAGUGCUUGCAUUCAGGCGACGACCGGCGAACGGGUGCGUAACGCGUAUAGAAUCUGCCUUGUACAGGAGGAUAGCCUUUAGAAAUGAAGAUUAAUACUCCAUAAUGUAAGCAAAUCGCAUGAUUUACUUAUUAAAGAUUUAUUGGUACAAGAUGACUAUGCGUCCUAUUAGUUAGUUGGUAAGGUAACGGCUUACCAAGGCGACGAUAGGUAGGGGGUCUGAGAGGAUUAUCCCCCACACUGGUACUGAGACACGGACCAGACUCCUACGGGAGGCAGCAGUGAGGAAUAUUGGACAAUGGGCGGGAGCCUGAUCCAGCCAUGCCGCGUGCAGGAAGACUGCCCUAUGGGUUGUAAACUGCUUUUAUACAGGAAGAAACCUAUCCACGUGUGGAUAGCUGACGGUACUGUAAGAAUAAGCACCGGCUAACUCCGUGCCAGCAGCCGCGGUAAUACGGAGGGUGCAAGCGUUAUCCGGAAUCAUUGGGUUUAAAGGGUCCGCAGGCGGUCGAUUAAGUCAGAGGUGAAAUCUCACAGCUUAACUGUGAAACUGCCUUUGAUACUGGUUGACUUGAGUCAUAUGGAAGUGGAUAGAAUAAGUAGUGUAGCGGUGAAAUGCAUAGAUAUUACUUAGAAUACCGAUUGCGAAGGCAGUCCACUACGUAUGUACUGACGCUCAUGGACGAAAGCGUGGGGAGCGAACAGG
This 755-nucleotide ribosomal RNA is filed under the name uncultured bacterium. RNAcentral's name for it is "bacterial SSU rRNA". It matches the Rfam family "Bacterial small subunit ribosomal RNA", at positions 28 to 776 of the family's 1533-position model. The record is from RNAcentral.